UUUUUGUUAUAGAAAGGUUUUGAAAACCUUUAUAGGUUAAAAAUUUAACCACUUAGUG
RNAcentral lists this transfer RNA (58 nucleotides) under Ascobulla fragilis. RNAcentral's name for it is "tRNA-Ser". The record is from RNAcentral. Lineage: Eukaryota; Metazoa; Mollusca; Gastropoda; Volvatellidae.